UCUUGUAGCUUUUCAUGUCUUUUUGAAACUAAUUGAUGAAAUUAUAGGUUUGUGAAUUCAAUUGUUUAUUGGUUUGUUUAAUCAAUUGUAUUAGCAAAAAUUAUUUCGUAAAUUGAUGAAAGUAUAAAUUUGCUCCUGUUUUGUUGAAUAUAGAUGAUGGCAUUAUUGAAGAGGUUGGUUUGAUGAACAAGAUGCUGUUGAAUAAGAAAUGUUGAUCAUGACUAUGGAUUCCGAAUAAAGAAACUGGUGAAAAACCUUUAUACAAAGGAAUGAAAGAAGGACAUGGGCUUAUUGUUCUUAUGGACAGGAUAAUUAGGAAGUUGGAACCUUUACAAGUGCAAACUGACCAUCAACCCUCCUUGGCUCCUUUGUAGAACAGCCUACUCAAUCGAUUUCUAUAAAGAUUUGAUACAAAAGGAAGAUUGGGAAGUGCCAUUCUCUAGUGCCGUAUCUUUCUAUUUUUUUUAGUUGGUUUGAUGACUUCUUGGUUUUGUUUUUUUGGUGCCUGUAUAUCAUGUCAAAAAUAAAACAUGGACCUUUUAUCCGGCUUUCUUGGUAGCAAUUGUUCUCUGGAGAAAGCUGGUGGUACUCAAAAUCUAUUCUUUAUUUAAAGAUCCUUUUUACUUAGUAUUUUAAGACUUUAAGAUCCUUUUUACUUAGUAUUUUAAGACAUCUAUACGAAGUAUUGUUGCAAAAUAUUAUAAUAGGAAGUGUUAUUAGCCAUUUGGCUCAUGUAUAAUCUUUUAGGAAAACGUGUCGUACUCUUUACCGGCUCAGUGCAAUUUCCGGAAGUUCAUUUGAGAA
This is a long non-coding RNA of Chenopodium quinoa (quinoa), 804 nucleotides long. RefSeq lists it as uncharacterized. The record is from RefSeq and is a predicted model, not a curated record. Lineage: Eukaryota; Viridiplantae; Streptophyta; Magnoliopsida; Caryophyllales; Amaranthaceae. The transcript has 3 exons.